GGCAUCCUGCGUUCCCCCCCUGCGUGGACCCUGAGGUGCCUGGUCCUCCUGUUCCCCCCCGGCUGGAUCUGCUCCAGCCCAGGGACCCAGACCCCCCACCCCAGGACCUCCCACUGCCCCCCUUGGGCCACCCCAGCCUGAACCCCAGUGACUGGAUCCGGCAUCGGCCACUGCCCCCCCACCCCAGGCCCCGGGGGCCCCCUGCCCCACCCCUCUCCCAGGGGCCUGAGGAGCCCAGCUGACAGGGGGCCAGGUGGAGGGGUUGACAGCACCGGAGACACAGUCACCUCCCCAGGACUCCCAGCCAGACCCUUGCAGACCCCGCCAGGACCCACGGCCAGCGAGGGGGAGGGGUGACCUUAUACUGACCCUGGGGCCUCAACCCAUGGCCCCCUAUGGACGGCUGAGUCCCAGGCCCCCAGUCAGCACUGCACAGAGACCCCCCGACUGAUGACCCAGAGACCAGCCAGACCCCAGAAAGCAGUGACGCUUGUGGGAUCCGAGGCUGGGGGGAUUCAGCGGCACCAGCGUGGGGGCUGGGGAGUUGUUUAACUGGGGGUGUCUGGACUCCUGUACCUCAAAGAGAAGCAG
Molecule: long non-coding RNA, 591 nt
Organism: Chelonoidis abingdonii (Abingdon island giant tortoise)
Lineage: Eukaryota; Metazoa; Chordata; Testudines; Testudinidae
Source: RefSeq, a predicted model, not a curated record